This 35271-nucleotide long non-coding RNA is filed under the name Cucumis sativus (cucumber). RNAcentral describes it as "long non-coding RNA (CSAT_LNC000077)". The record is from RNAcentral. Lineage: Eukaryota; Viridiplantae; Streptophyta; Magnoliopsida; Cucurbitales; Cucurbitaceae.
UUUUUUUUUUUUUUUUGUUGUUUAUAGAUUAUUAGCUAAAUAUUAGAUGGUUACUAAUGAAGAAGAGUAAAUACACAGAUUGGAUAUAGGCAUUUUGAUACUGCAAGUCUCUAUGGUUCAGAAGAAGCAAUUGGAAAAGCUAUAAAGAAAGCAAUUGAAAAUGAGACUGUGAAGAGAGAAGAUAUUUUUGUUACUACUAAACUAUGGUGCAAUGAGCACCAUGAUCCACUUUCAGCUCUUAAUGCCUCUUUAAAGUAAGUAACUUUUCAUUUUAUUUUAUUUAUUGCCGCUUUUUUUAGACCUUAAUUAUAAUUUAUAAUUUAUUGGAAGGGUUGAUUAGUUUAAGUGAUUUCACUUCUUUUUAAUAAACAUCUAUUUCGCUUCUAGAUGUUUUGAUUUGUAAUUAUUUACUUUCCAUUAAUGGUUUAAAAAAUAAAUUAAAGUCAAAUUUUGAAAAACAAAAAAAAGAGUAGUCUUUCAACAUUAGUUUUUGUUUUUUCUUACAAUUCAAUGGAGUUUGAUUUCUAAAAUAAAAAAAAAAGUCAAAUGAUCAGGGAGAAGCAAGGGAGAGAAGGAAAAAUUAUAAAAAAAAUAGAAUACUUAACCAAAUAUUUAUCCUUCUAGAAAAAUAAGUAUAAUAAAUUUUGUCUUUAGUAAUUUUUUAAAAUAGUUUGGGAAUGAUUCUAUUAAAAAUAGAAAUAGAAUUAAAUUAUUGAAAGAAAAGAAACGGACAAUGAGGAACGUUCGUCUUCAAAAAACUAGAAAAAUGUUUUAUUCAAGGAAAAAAUAACGAUUUUUUAUUUAGUUAAUUAAUGAUUAAUAGAUUAUAAAAAUACCCCAAAACCCUAUGAAUUUAUUCCAAAAAUACAAUUUUAAAAAAAUGUCAUACCAACUUUAAUUUUUUUUGUAAGAAUUUUUUAAAAAAAUAGAAAAAAGAAUUGAUGAACUAUUUAUACACCAAAAUCAAUAAAAUUUAUUAUACUGUUUUUAUAGUUUUUAUUUAUAAUUGUAUUCAAUAAAAGAUUUCACAAUUUAAAUCCUUUAGUUUUACGAUAAUUUGAAACCCAACCUAAAUCUCUUCGUUAACAAUUAUUUAUUAAAAUUGAAGUAAAUAAUAUACACCAUAUAUAAAUUUGAUAAUUGUUUAAUAAAAAAACAAAUAAUGACUAUUUACUCAAGAGUGGAUAGUGCAUUAGGGUAUAAAGGUACCUAUAAUAGCUAAUAAUCUCAAGGAUAACAAUCAAGUAGUAACCAAAUAAGGUAGCUAAUAAUAUAUACAAACUUUUUUAAAAAAAUUGUAAAUGUAGCCAAGUCUUGUAAAUUCAAUAUAAUUUAUUAGUAGUAAUAGACUAAAAUAUUUACAAUAUGAUCUAUUAAUAAUAAACGUCGACAGAUUUAAUUAUAUUUGUAAUUUUUUAAAAUAUUGUUAUAUAUGUUAGUAUUUUAAAUCUAAUUGUUAUAUUUGUAAUAAUUGUUCUUAUGUGUGGGGUAGACGUUUGGGAUUGGACUACGUGGACAGUUACUUGAUCCACUGGCCAGUGAAACUAAAGCCAUGGGCUUCCUAUAUGGUGCCCAAAGAAGACGAUUUUGAUGAAAUGGAUCUUGAGACCACAUGGAACCAUAUGGAAAAGUGUGUGGAAUUAGGCUUAACUAAGACCAUUGGUGUUAGCAAUUUCUCUUCUAAAAAGCUCUUACAUUUGCUGGAUUUUGCUUCUUUACCUCCUGCCAUUAAUCAGGUACGUUUAUUUGUUUACCUUUUAGUUUAACAAUAUCCAUUUUCGUUCACUACAUAUGUAUUAAUUGAGCUAUGUUUAUGCAUAUUAGGAUAGGCAUACAACUCAUUGACAUAUUAGUCGUUGGUUAUGAGAUCUUAAGUAUAUGUAAUGCUCUUUAACUUGUUCAAUAUGGUUUCUGUGUUUAUAUUGUAGUCACAUGUAAUUAUUGAAUGGUUAAGAUAUUGAUAUUUAUGAAUUAGACACUCUUUUCAUUUGAAGGUCGCAAUUGCAACCUUCUAUAGACUUAUUUACCUUGUUAAGUAUCCUUGUUGUAACACUAUUUUUGAAUUAUGAGAACAAAUUUUUCUUCAACUUUUAAAUUUAAAUAUGGCUAAUAAUCUUCGUAUUGUUUAGAAGAGAAAACAUUGGUAGAUUCAUUGUUACAUUGGCACCCUCAAUACUAAGUAUUAUGUUGUACAAAUUACCAUUCUAACUAUGGAUGAUAUACCUAGGAUAUGGUUUAGAAAAUGCAUGUAUGGCAUGUCCUACCUGAUAUUUACGAUAAGAGUUGAGUAAUUAAUAUAUUACCAGGAUAAAAAAUAAAUUAAAUUGGAAGUAAUAUAAAUAUAAAUAAUAUAUUGCUUACUUUUGUAGGUAGAAAUGCACGUAAUGUGGAGGCAAAGGAAGCUGAGAGAGGUUUGCUCUUCAAGAAAUGUGCAUUUGACUGCAUACUCACCUCUUGGAAGUCCAUGGAAUCCAUAUGGCCUGAAGAAUUUGCUCAAAGAUCCAAUUGUCAAUUCCAUUGCUUCCAAGCACGAAGCAACUCCCGCACAGGUAAAAAACGACUUUAAAAUAGUUUAAAUCAUUUUAAAUUAAAAGAAAAAAUCGGUGAUAGACAUUGAAAAAUUGAUGGUAGACAUUGAUGAACAUGUAUCAAUAUCUAUUAAUUAUUAAGGGACAACAACGUUGAAAAUUAUGUUUAAAAAUGAAAUUAAAUGUUGAAUACAUCUAAGUGGAAAUUAAGAUGUAUUUUGAAGUGAUUUUAAAUAGCAUCAAAGUGGUUUUGGAAUGCUAACCAUGUUUGAAUUUAAUUUGAUUGAAGGUUGCACUAAGCUGGAUAUUAUCAAUGGGAGGAAGUGCAGUAGUGAAGAGUUUCAAUGAAAGUAGAUUAGAGGAAAACAUGGCCUCUUUUGGUCUCAAAUUGGAUGAACAAGAUUUGCAAGAAAUUGACAAGUUGGAAGAAAAGAAGAUGGCUACUGGUGAAUUUCUAAUCAAUGCUACAACAGGCCAAUACAAAAACAUUCAAGAAUUGUGGGAUGGUGAAAUUUGAUUUUGUAUGUGGUUGGUGAAUUAGCUAAUAAAAUUCAAAAAUAAAUUCAUAUGGGUUUAAGCAAUUCAUUAUUCACUGCUCAAUCUAGAGGUUUUAGGUUUGAACACAAUAUGAUUUUUUUUUAUGUCUUUCAAGUUCGAGCAACGAAACAUUUGUGGUUGCCCUCAAGUCUUGGUUCUCUAAUAAAAAUAAAUCAACUUACCAUCGUAUCUUUGAUUAAAGGAGAAAGUGAUAUUUUUUUAAAAAAUAUCUAUAAGUGGUACAACCAGGUUGCAAGAAUAAAUUAUUCAAUAAACUUGGGGCAAUGUUUCACUAUAGAAUUGAUGGGUAAACGUACUUCAAAUUUACAUUUAAUAGUUAUUAAGAGAUGCAAAUAAUAGAAUUCAUACUAAUGUGAGUAUUAAUAAAUAAUUUUUAAUUUUUUUUUCAUUAUAAUAUUAUUAGAAAGUUUAUGGGAUACAAAGAAAUAAAUAGAAAUGGUAAUUAAAUGUGGUAAUUAAAUGUAUGGAAGUAAAGGACAACAACUUUUUGUGCUAAAUUUGGAAGGAAUUUUUUUUUUUGAAAAAUUGGAAUGGAUGAUUAUUUUAGCAAUAAUAAUUAAGAAUAUAACAAUAUUCGAAAAAAAUUUAAAUAUAGCAAAACUAUUACUGAGACUUGUAUCGGAUAUAUCAGUGAUAGACAAAUAUUUACAACAUAGUCUAUUAGUUAUAGACUUAUAUAAUUGAUAGAAUUUGACAAAAUUUGCUAUAUUUGCAAAUUUUUAAAUUGUGCUAUAUACUUAAUUAAUUUGAAUUUAAUUACUAAAUUUGCAACUAUUCCAAAUAUUUUUAAUUAAAAAACCGGGUCCAAUAUUUCAUUAGUUUAAAACAAUAUUUAUGUCACUUGUUUGAAAAACAUCUCUUAUCUCUUAUCUUUUAAAAGCGGCAAUAUUUCAAAACUAUACUUAUACAAAAAUCACAUUGCGUAACGUUUUAAACAAAAAAAAAGAAAAGAAAUAGACAGCUACACUAUUUAAGAUAACCGUCACAUUAUUAUAAGUCCAAAUUUCUUUAAAGUAUUUCUAUUCCAACAGUGGUUUUAAAACACAACAUCAAUGAAAAGAUAGAACUAAAUUUCACACACAAAAUUUGACCAUUAUUUUCACCAUUCUAUCUACCGUAAAAUACAUAAUACAACUAUACCACAAAUUUCAUCAUUGUCGUGUAAAAAUUGAACUUUCCCUCUCUCAAUAUCUACGAAUCUUACACAAUUUCCUUUUGCCAUAGAACAGAAUAAAAACCUGGCUCUCCUAUGCCCUCAAGGAAACCAAAAUAGAAACCACUUCUACAACAUAAAGAAACCAAAGGAAGAGGAGUGGCGUUGAGAUAACUUAUAGCCCAUAAAUGUAUUUAACACUAGCACAAAACAAAGCUACAGAUAAAUUCAAAGAAGAAUCAAAAUUUCAGAUCUAUGAUCCUAGGAACUUGUCUACUCUUGUGUUGGCUGACCUUGAAAGGAACUUCAUGCAAAUCGGUGGCUUGACUCCCACCAAAGCCAAAAUUGAAUUAGGCAACGUCCAUAUCCCAUCUCCACAUAUCAAACCAGAUGCUACGGCGGGACCAAACGCUUCGGCUUUGGUUUUGUUUAACUUCUGCCAUACAAACAAUAUCAGACUUCCAAGGCUCAUAUCAAUAGCAAAAUAUGGGCCUAUAUAGAAUGGUAUGGCCAUUGCCAUAGGUAAAGGAAUGAACCUUGCCCACUUUUUUGGUAUCAAGUCUUUAAUCAAGUUAAUCAAAAUGGAGGUAGCGAAAAAGAUAUAACAAAGGGUAAGGCAGUUCUUUGGUAGACUUGAGGCACCUUCAACACCCAACACAGACAUGUUGCGAAAGAGAACGGCGUUAGGGGCGGGGUAUUCACCGGUUGGAAGACCAAGAUCGUCAAAUGCCUUGUAGAAGAGCCAAAAGACACAAGGGGAAAUAAUGCAACCCAUUGUUGUGCCUACCACUUGGCUGACAAACAUGGAGCGAGGUGAAGCUAAAGUUAGAUAGCCAGUCUUGAAAUCCUGCGUAAGGUCUGAGGCUGUCGAGACAAUGUUCAUCAUGACCCCACAAGCUGAUAGACCAGCAAUAAUUCCCCCACGCGAGGGCCCAGCCCAUGCGCCAAUUGUGAAAAUGGCAAGCUUUCCGUAAGUGGAUGCCAAAGACCAAUCCGUGAGUCCACAUCCAUAUGCAUUACAGAAUGCCAAGACAGGAGCAAAGAUGUAGAUGACCAAGAUAUAAUACCACUUUAGCUGGGGAAAGAUGUGUGGAAGAGUGUUCAUGGACACAACAGCGAUUACAACAUAGCCUCCAACAGCAAACCAGAUUGGUAUUUGAUCCUUGAGAAAUAGUUGUUUCCUUCGUGCAUCAUCAUAAGAUAACUCAGAACUUGAUGAAUUUUCCAUGGAGAAAUCUUCACUCUCUCUUCUACGUUGAAGUUGGUCAAACAAGCCAGAGAGGGUCCGAGUCAGUACUUUGAAGAAGUUGUAUAAGCCAUCACCAAGAAUUAUAGCUAUUGCUAUAAAUACCUAAGGUCAAUGUCAAAAUAAGUUCCCUUUUAAGUGGGAUUUUUUUUUUCUUAAAUUAGUGAGCUUGUUUGAGAUGAAAGAUUACCUUAUAACCUUCAAGUCCACUUAGGUCAUCUGACCUCAAUUUCUCACUAUACCAUUGACCUCUUUUUUCUUCUAUGAGAGGCCACAUUAUGCCCCAAGAGAUAAUUCCUCCAACAAGCACCGAUACAUUUAUUAUGUGAGGGCAAAUCAUCCCUACUCCAAUAUAUGUUGCUGAGAAGUCAAAGUAAAACCUACAUAAUUAACCAGAAGAUCAUAGUGAACCCACAUGUGACAAUGUCUUGAAAUUGAAACGAAAUGUUUUAUUCUUGAAAACUCCAACUCUUCGUGAUUUGACAUAGAAGGUAUAUAAAAAGAAUACAGCAAAUCAAGUUCCAUGAAUCAGUUGAAGAAUAAGACGAAAAAUCAAAGUGAAGUAGUUAGAUAUAUACUUGUUUGCAUAUGCUUUGAGCCCAAAUGUUGGGAAAUGUGCAAAUCCACAACCAUCUGCUGAUGUAAAGAACCAUUGAAAAAAGCCCCACAAGAAGCUCACAGAGAAAAACCUGCCAAGCAAUCUCACCUGUUUCCUAUAAUAUUAGACAAAAGAAAGUAUAUAUUAGAAGGGCUGCUUUCAUUUGGAUAUCAUUAUAAUUUAUUAUACAUAACAACACAUUACUUUGCUAGUGCAGCUCCUCGGGGAGUGUGGAAACUAUUAAUCAAAUGAGCAGUAGCAGUACCACUUGGGUAAGUUAAUUUGAAGUCUAUGACCAUGAUCUGCAAUUAAUCCCGAGUCAAAGUGAUCAAAGAUUCAAAAUAAUAAUGAAUAUUAUCAAGUCAACAUGUACAGAAACUUCAACUUAUGAAAUGGAGCAUAAAUUUCUGUUCUUUUCCUAGAUUUUGAGUAGGAUAAAUGUGGGGCAUGGGAGUUUGAAUCUGUGACUCUAUAGAAAGAGCACUCAUAGAAGCCCUAAAUAAAGAUAUUUGUGAAUCUUGUGUGAUAUAAUUGUCUCUGAAAGCUCCUUCACCAUGCAUUACGUGGCAGUUGUUUGUAUAUCAAUUUAUUCACAUUAAUAUAUGUUGCAUUAAAGUUUUCAUAGCCUAUUUUGGGAUAAAACCAACUCUGAAGCUUUAGAUGUAAUAAACUGAAAAUAUUUGCUACUAGCAACAUGACAGCAUACCUUUCGCAAGGGUACAACUGAGAAGAGACCAAGAAAGCUAACAACAAAUAAAAAACCAAUCAUCCAUCCUAAUGAUGGAUCUUUGAAAUCUCUGCUGCCUGAUGCUUUAUGAGCAAUCCGUUCACUCAUUCCAAAUAAGUAAGUUCCAAAACCUCCUGUCAAUAGAAAUAAUCCAAAACAAGAAAUUCAAUUUAGCCCAACAGAAACCAGGAAUUAGUUAAAGAUUUGUCCAUGGACUUCUAUAAUUUCCAAUGAUAUGGAAUAAUAGUCUUCUGAGAUUCUCCCACACCAGAAACAGUACUCGGUAUUAAAGAGAAGUUCACUUCUUGAAAGCUUAGUACACAAAUAGCCUUAGAUCAAAGUAGUAAUGAAGAACUUUCACAGACUUCUGGGCAAAUGAGUAAAGUUUUUCUUCAAUUGAAAAAUGGAUGUCAGAAUCCUCCUAUCAUGGUGAUGGACCGGUCAAGGAAAAACAACAGUCAAGUAGCUGAGCUACCAAGGUAUGGUCAAAUGGACCAUCUUGGUCCAUAACUUUAAUAAUAUGAAUUGUAUAAGACGACUUUCUGCUAAUAACUUUUUCAAAGGAGAUACAACCAUAUUUAUAUUGGAACGAAAGUUUUCUAAUUGUUUGUGUAUGCAAGUUGCAGCUACAGAGCUACUUCCAUUAGAAGAAACAAAUAACAAAAGCACGGCCACACGCACAAAAAUAAACAGAUAUGUAAAGUUAAUUACAAGCAACAAGCAACCAUUCAUCCAAAAAAAGAUCAGAGCAAUCACGAUGAUGGCACAGAACUGUUCACAGAAGUUCACAAAAAUCAGCGCCAAGAACACACAACAAAACAACAAAUCGACGAGCUGAAAGAGAAAACGAUAACGAAAACUUGAAAUCGAACUUAUACUUCAGUACAAAUUAAGUAUGAGCAAGAAUCUACAACCAGCUAAAGAAAAUGAUUAAGGAACAAACCGCUGAACGCGAUGCCAGACGAGGCAACAACACAGGUUUGGAUGACGGUGUUCUCCUGCCUGGUGAAAGGCUGCUUCAAUAAACCUGAUCUCUCCAAAAAUUUCGUCCAGGACUUGACAAAGAAGAAACCUAAUAGACCAGCCGAAACGUUGAGUGAAGGUAUAAUACCGGUGGUGAGAUUGAGCUUCAUUACAAUGAAGCUGAACAAAAUGCUCAGCCAAAAACUAACAAAAAAAGCCCUAAACGUCAGCUGUUUCCUCCAUGAAGGAACUUCUUGGUCUUCAAAGAACUCCUCAAUCGAUAAUACUCCACUUCUACUCCCAAAUCUCUGCCUGUUCUUCUGAUUUGGAUCGCGUUCAGAAUCCAAACGCUUCACAACACGAUUAUCAACACCUUCCUCCUCCAUAAUGUAUUGAUAAACGAGGAUUAAGAGGUUAGAAUCAGAAAUGGAAAGUGAUAUUUGUGAUGAAUUGAAGCAAAGAAGUGGAAUUCAUAGAAACCGCAUAAAGAUUGAGGAUGUUGCUAUCAAUUGAUGCGUGGAUGAGAACUUGUUGAAGAGAAGACAAAAGAAUAGCCAAAAUUAGUCUCCGAUUGACUUCGAAGUCGGCGAUUUCGAGAGGAGCCAUGAGGUCCGACAGCGAUAGGAGUUGCCAAUGCCAACUUGGCCAAAGGGAAAUUUCCUCACUUUCACCAUUCUUACUGACUUCCACCUCCCCCUUCUUGUUUCUUCCUAAACUUUAUCAUAUCAUUCAAUGCACUAAUUAAUUUAAUCUUAACACUAGUUAUACAUUAAAAGAAACUUUCCUAUUUUCAAAUACAUAUUUUCGCAAUAAAUAUAAGUAACUACUCAGUACAUGGUAAUAUAUCAUGAUUUUUGUUAAACUUAGAAAAAGUGUUGAAUUAGUUUAAGCUAAGUUGAAAUUCAAGAUCUUACCUUUUCAACUUUUAUACGGGAGAAGAUCUAAUAGAUUUAGUUUUUUAAAAUGUAAUUGCAAUGAAAAUGAUAUUUUUACAUUUGAUCAACUCUAUUAUCGUUAGACUUCGACAAUUUUAUCUAAAUUUUAUUGCAUGCCUAAGUAGUUAACUAGAGGGAUGACUCAAAUGUUUUCUUUGAUUGAAUGGGCGAUUCAUUAAUUCAAAUUUAAGAGCUAAAAAUAUCAAUCAUUAUCGUUAUAAGAUCAACAAGAAUCAUAAAAGCCGACUCCUAGUGUUGGUUAUAGAAGUAAAGAAAGCCACAUAGAUGUCGACUUUGUAGACUUCAUGAUGGAUGAUUGAUAGAGUCGACCAUAAGAGAAAAAUAAUCCCGAACUAUAGAGGUCAACUCAUAGGGAUGACAUUUGGGUGAUAUUCAUAGAGCUUGGGGAAACCAACUCUAUGGUGAUAAAGAUUAUGUCAAAGUGUUAAACAUUUUAGAUAUGUAUAUGCCUAAUAGUGAAAAGAAUCUCACAAUUCAUAAUAAUUAAUAAUAGUUUGAUUAUAGAUCCGAGAAGUUAAAUAGUGAAUGAUUAUUAUAUAAAGAUUUCCUAUAUAACUACGAAGGGUUGAGACAUUUGAGUUACUUUGAAAAUGCUCUAAGUUCUCUAAUCUCUAACUUUCUUCAAAUUAUUAAUGACUCAAUCGUUAAAGUGUCGAUGAUCUCAAUAAAAUAGUUUUCUUUUUUGGUAUUGUGCAAGGAAAUUAUUUGAUUCCUAAUAAUAUUUUAUAUUUUAUGAUAUUAGUAAUUUGUCAAAGGGUGGUUGAGAAGUAAGCUUUCAUUUAUGUGUGAGUUUUAUUUUUUAUUUUAGAACAAUUUGUAUUAUUAUUUUGUUUGCUUUUAAAAACGAAGAUUAGGUGAAGAUAUUUGGUUAUAUAUUUUUAAAUUAAUUUCACAAAAACAAGUAAGAGUUUGAGAGUGUUAGAUGUCCUUCAAAUUUAUCUUUUCAUAAUUCAAUAUAAUAUGUUAUCUAAAUUUUAUAAAUUAUCACUAAUAAUACCUUUUAAAGGAAAAAAAAAAUUAAUUUUGUAUAUAUUAAAAGUAGGAACUUUCCCACUAUAAUUUUGAUAUAGUAUUUGCAUGAAAAUUUCCAUCCCACAAAGUGUAAAGAAAAAUAUUAACCAUUUUUUUGGUUUAGCAAAUUACUAACUAAUUCACAAAUUGUUCCUUAAUCCGUCAAAGUUAAACAUCAUAGUUUAGGUAAAAAGGAACAAAAUUUUUUGUUGUAACAUGGUCUAGCAUUUAAUAUCCUAUAAGUUUUACGCCAAAUAUAGUAAACUCGAAUACAUAAUUGCUUGUAAUUAAUUAAGGUACAAAUGUGCUGACUCAAACAACUCAUGGAUACAAAAACAAUUAUUAGAUAAUACACGUGUUAACUCAACUAAUUACGUGAUUGUAAAAAGAAAAUUAAAAAAAAAUCCAAGAGAAUAAGACAUAGAAUAAUUUAAAAAAAAAUGAAAGGUGGAAGCUUUUUGAGACAUAUUAUUAAUUAAACAGUCAAGAGAACGGGUAAAGUAAGCUUAGUAUUGACAUGCGCUCCACUUUGAAGUGGGAGGUUGCUUGAUUGCGCGUCACAUUUAUAGUUGGUUUCUAAAGAAAAAAUGACAUGUGGAUCAAUAAUUGGCAAUGGUUGAGUGUUGGCAAUAAUUAAAUAUAGUCUGCUGAAAAAUGGGAAGCCACGGGCAAAUGAGGAAUCCCAUAUUGCUGUCAUCCAAUGGAUCUUCUUCGCAUCGUGAUGUAACCAACCACGCUGUCAAUGUUCUAGGAGACAUCCCAUCAACUUUUCUAUUGAAUUCCACGUGGACGAAAACAACUGAUUUUGGAUUUUAUACAUAAAAUCAAAUCAAAUUUUAACAUAAUAAUCCAAUCAAAUAGGUGUAUUGAUUGCUUAAUUUGGAAUUAAACUAUACUAAAUUCAAUAUUCAAGUCCAACAAUUGAAACAAAUUUCAAAGAAGAAAGUUCAAAUUUUUGUGAAUGUGAGGAUUGGUUUAUUUGCUCUACUAUUGUUGAACUGAAAAAAAAAAUACUUUUUUUUAACCUAUGAUGUAUCCGAUGACAUAAACAAUGAAUUUAAAAUUCAACUAUAUUUAUUAACCAGCAUUAAAUAGAAAUUUAAAAUAAAUGUAAACAAAGUAGUCGGCUAAUUUUAGUAUAGAUGGUAUGGCAGUUGAUUAAUUUUAGAACCAAACAUUGAAUGUAAAAUAAAUUAUUGGAAUAAUGUAUAUAGUAGAAUCAUAAAAAAGAAAAAGAAAAGGUUAAAAGUCAAUGGCUUCAUCAUGGAAAUAUCCAUAACAUUAAACUUCAAAUGGAUUCCUCAUAUUUCUCUGUUCACGUACGCUUUGCUUUGUCAGCAACUAAAUAUCUUUCUUGUGUUAUCAACAGAAGCAAUUUUGAAACUAAAUAUGAAAAAGCAAAUGCUUACAAUCUCUAAAAAUCAGGAGACAUUCAUUAUUACACGAGAAGUAAUUUGUGUACAAAUCAAUAUAUACAAAUGAAAGUUUCACUGCCUGAAAGAGUAGGCAUAGAAAGAUGGAAAAGGAACAAAAAAAGAAAAAACCAAAUGUAAAUACAUUACAGACUAAGAUCAGCUCCUCUUAGAUCCUACUGGAGAUUAGGGUCCUAACCUAAACAAAAUUCUCAAAAGUAUUAACAAAAAGGAAAGAAUUUCCUUGAUAAGUUCUAAGCAUGAAACCUCUGGUUACGUAACUAGAAUCGCCGCGAGAGGAAGAACUCGUAAUCUGGAUGCGUGUUUCCAGAAUUCAGAUUUCCUUUCUUAACAACAGCUCUGGCCAUGAGAGAUGCAGUCUCUUCCAGGGUCCUCAGGCGCUCCUGGAGGAUUCUAGGAGGAUUUAAGUUGGAGGUAAACGUGGACGUACGCGUACUGUCUCUAGGUUCAAACCAGCAUUCAUUCUGUUCAUGUAAUGUCACAAAGAGAACGUUUAUGAAAGAUACAUAUCAACCCUUAUGCAAUGCAACAAUUUUAGACACUUCGUUUAGGAUGUACAGGAAGCAAUAAUAGCAAUUUAUCGAUGUAAAACAAAAAUCACACUUGUGGUUUACACGUUGAAAACUUAAUAGAUUGACAAAUACGCUGAAUCUAAGGAGGUUUUCUUCAUCCCCUUUCACUUGAAGAUUUGAGGAGGGAGAAAAUCAAUGGUUUGUCUAGACAUCUUGUGAUCAACCCCUUGCCAUUAGUCAUGUCAGGAAACCUAAGGUAGUCUAAUAAAAUGUCAAGGAUCAGUGGAUCACUAUCAGUAUAGCUUUUCCUUUCAGGUAUUAUAGGGAAGAAAAAAAGUACUUGAGUGCAUCUAAGGUUGUAGCCACCUGUGUACAUCCUACCCACGUGUCCAAUCACAAGUUGUCACACGAUAAUUGAUUUUCUUUUUUCUCUUUGUAAUUAAAGGGGUUGCAUGAAGAUGAGUGUAGCCUAGGUUACACUCAAGUACUGCUCAUAAGGAAUUAUGAUAGGGAGAAGCCCUAAUCCAACAAUUCAUUAAGUUGAAUGGCAAAACCCUGGGCAUUUCCAUCUAUACGUAAUCAGCCCAAGAAUAAGGUACUGACCGAUUAACACAAUUUAUAAAGAGAGAAAAGGCAGAUACAAUCUUCAUACGUGUUGUUUUUUUGUUUCCUUUACUAGUAUCUAAACAAAAUGCACAGCCAUUGAAAACGUUAAAGCCUAUUGGAAAUGGAAUUAAAAAAACUUUACCUGUGCAUUAUAACUUUGAAGACCCACGACUGGACAGACUAAGCAAGAAUUUGUAUCUUGGGAAGUUCUAGAAACAAAAUGUCCUAGCGAAUGGUAAGUCAAAAAUGCAGCUCGAAGGUUUCCAUCCGGUAUCCUAUAAAUGGGAUACCAUGCCACUGAGUACCUGAAAUGCCAAAAACAAUUAAAUCACUUUUUUCACUUUAGAGGUGCUGUCCAAAUGACAUACAUAAGUCAGAAUUUGGUCAUAUAUGAUUUAGUUCUAGUAGACUAUGGAACUAAUGCAAACUGUUGCAAAUAUUUGUCACACCAACCAUGAUCCAGCAUGCAGAUCAUCCAAAGUAAUGGAAUUGAGUACGGUCGGAUCACCAUAUAUUUUUCCUUGCAAGCCAUCUCCCUCGACUAGCUGAUGUAUCCUGAUUAAACAAUAGAACUGAGAUCAAUUUCAAAGCAGUUUUCAAUUAGCAAUAAAAAAAAAAGUGUAAAGCCUUGUCGAAGCUUUCUAAGAUAACCAACAUAUCAAGCAAUUUGCUGAUCCUUGUAUUAAGUAACUAGAAUGCAGAAUUUGAAAUGCAAGCAUUCCCUAAAACCAGCAUAAUAUCAAAAAACUAUUGAUUGAGGAGAAUGAGAUCGAAGGCAAUCACAGGAUCAUGAAUAAAUACAUAAAUAGCUGCCAGUGCCCAUCGAAGUUCAUAAUGACUGGAAAAUGUUUUCCUAAUAAAUUUCACUAGAGUCUGAUCGAUUGUUAAAUUGUGAAGAUUUUGUGCUGAAAUGUUUGUGGUGUUAAGUAGAAAGGGGCAUUGUCAACCAUAUUUUUCCUUCAAGAGUCAAAUUCUGUGGGGUUGACAAGAAGAUUAUAUAUAUACUUUCAGUGUUUUAGAGAAAAUGGAAUCUCCAGGGCCUCUUGAGCAUUAAGCAGCAAGAGAUGGAAUGCAACAUUUACACAUUGGCCUUCUCAUAGAACACCAAUAUAGUGUCUAUACUUUAUUGAUAUCUCCAACAGAGAUUACAAUAUAAAAGAACAAACAAGUAAAAAGAAACUCAAGAACACUUAAAGGAACCCUAACCCUCUACCCUUCCUUUCUUUCAAGGAAUGUUGCAGUCCGUUACCUUCACCAAAAUCUUCAUGCCUUUCUUCCCUCUCCAACUUCCUAUUUAUAACCAACUAACUGCCAACAAAUCUAAUUACCCUUAUACCCCUGCCCUAUACUAAUCUAGGUAUCUAACAGCUUCAUCUUCUCUAGGCCAGCCUAUUGAAGGACAUGUAAUUAAGGUUGAUUUCUGGAAUCCAGUAGUAUAAAAGAGUAUGGGGGAAAGUAAUGAAAGAACACAAUUUUUUCCCUUCAAGACGAGGUCACCCUACUCUUUCUCAUUCUGGGCUAUCCAACAUCCUUACUAUUUUCUUCCUUUAAAAUUCAUAAUAUGGCUAACUAAUGGAGAGAGAUGUUAGCGUGUUCAUUUAGUUGAUUAUAAGGGUAGAUGGAGAAGUUAUAGUUGUGGUUAUUAUAUCAAGUGAAACUAAUGCCAGAAGAACACUUACGAAGCACAAAGGACUCAGUGAAGCCAAAGGGAUUUGUUUUUAACAAGAAAAUUUAGAGAAGGGAAUGAGGAAAAUUUCUUCUAGGGAAGACUGCUAUCUAGGCAACACUAAUAAGAGAUGAAUAAACCACUGCUGGAACAAGGCUGAGGCAGGGUGAAACCUCCAAUUUAGACUAUACUAGACAGAGCAAAAUUUAAUAAGAGAAAAUAAGCUCAUAGCUAGAAAUUUUGGAGACUUGUUAGCUAAGUGGCUAAGUCGUUGAGGUAAUUCUGUGUUAAGAAGAUUGGAUAAUUUAGGUAAAUCUAGUUAAUUCAGUACUACUUAGUACUUUGGCCAAAUUCUAAAGCGGUUGUUGUGUCAAAUCAUCAAACCCAACUAUCAUGACAAGAAAAUUUCCAAGAACAAAAUUUUCCAUUAAAGUUUCCACUCCAAUGCUUAAACCUAGAACCUGAGCUAUAAGCCCAUGCAAACUCCCAACCCCUACCAAAUGAUUCCUCAGGGGCUGUCAUUUAUUAAUCUUUUCCAAAUAAAGUUCAAAAGUUGGGUUUGAUUUAGCAUUUGCCGGAUGAUACGUCUGCUGGAUUGCCACAACUACUUUGUGAUCAUACAUUGCAAGGGAAAGCAAGGAUUUCCUUGUCUUGUGCAAUAAAUGGUACUCUUUAAAAGAUUUUCUACGAAAGACAUUAAAUAUAAUUUGUUAUAUUAGUAUCCUAUACCAGCUCCACAGACACACAUAGGAAAAGAAAUAGGAAAAAAAUUUGGAUAUCAUCUCUCCCAUUUGUAACUCUAUGGCAAAGUUUGUCUGAUGAAAAAUAAUAACUACAGUAAUAAUAAGUUAAGGUUUGAUUAGAAAAGAUUUGAGUUAAAAAAUAUAUAACUAACAAAUCACACUAGUAAUUUCCAAAAAAGAGUAGGAGCAAUUACUUAUCAAAUAAUGGCCUUCUCAGUUGAGGUUGUUCCCCUUCAAAAUAUUCAAAAAUAAGUUCUGAUUCUCCAGAUAAUUGUAGGCUCGCCGAUUGUUCUGAAGACUUCUUCUUCUCAGACGCUAAAUGUUGCUCUGAACUAUGAAACUGAUUACAAACCCGCAGAACGCUUGUAUCAUCAGUACAGGGCUUGGGAAAAAGGAGUGAAAAUAUUGGAAGAUGACAAGUAGAGGGCUCCUUCACUUUUAUAUCGCUUACACAUGAAUUAAAUCCCAAAGGACCAGUAGCUGUUCCCACAUGAGUUUUACGGCUCUUAAAUAGUUGAACAGCUGAAAGAAAUGGGACAAAAUAUGCACGGAAUGCAGAGUUAACAGCACCAAAUCCAUUUGAAUUUUCCUGACCCUUGGCUUUUAUUUCUAAGCCAUAGCUGCCAUGUUUUUCAUACCAUUGCCACAGGCAACCCAAAGAAAUGUUGGUAGUCUCGUUGCUACAUGGUAUCACAUCACCAGGCAGAUUUCUUGGGCAAAUGUCACUGCUUGAAUUGGGUCUCUGGUCGAUAACAGGGGAGGAUAAAUGAAGGAAUCUUUCGAACUCUGCAAUUGGACAACCAGUUUCCAUUUGAAUAGCUUCAGAUGCCAAUUGCGCCCUACAUGCAUUAUUCACUGCUUGUUCCAUUCUAGACACAUCUUCACAUGAGGAUUUGCAAUUAAAAUGUUCAUCCACAUCGAACUCAGACUUAUGAUCCUGUAGUGUGGUUGUAUCAUAGCCAUACAUCUUCUGCACCCCACAUUCAUGUUCUAAAGGACCAUCAUCCCUAUCUCUAUAAUGCUGGAUCCCCUCAAUUACAUCAGAAACAGGAUUUAGUACGUUGCAAUUGACUCUUUCUUUAAUUGAUUUUUCCAAAGUGCCAAACUCAGCAGGCUGCGUAUUUGCAUCUCUCAGAGAUGAAAAAUCAGGUCUGGCCAAGGUGAUCGAUCUGGAACCUUCUGCUCCACUUGGCAACCAGUUCUGAAGAGGUGAUCUAGAUUGGGUGUCAUGCUUGCUGCGUUCAUCCAGGGAACUUCCUUUUGUUGCUUGAAAGAAAAGAUGAGGAAGGUAAACGGAAGACUUAACCUCUACUGGAUUUGACUGAUUUAAGGAGUUGCAUGACUUUGGCAAUGAGCUAGAGUCGUUCCCUACUUUUUGAAAAAAAAGAUGAGGAAGGUAAACAGGAGACUUAACCUCUACUGGAUUUGACUGAUUUGAGGAGUUGCAUGACUUUGGCAAUGAGCUAGAGUCAUUCUCUACUUUUUGACUGCUCAAACCAUCGUUGAUAAGUUUGUUUGAGAUCAAUUCAUCUAGAUGGACUUGUUUACUUUCAACUGAUUCAGAAUUUGUGCAUUUAUCAGUAGAAUCAUUUUGAAAACAAGAUCUUGGAUCGCCACUUGAUCUUCUUAUGUCAAAACCCAUAGAUCGAACAUCCAACUUUUCAUUUGGUGGUUUGUGAACCAUUGAACUUGUAUUACUACCACAACUAUUCCUUGUAGGACGAUAUAUCUUCUCUUGUCCUGAAGUAUUUUUUCUUUUCAACCUCCUGGGACAUUUUUCUUUCAGCUGUUUUUUGUUCCCCGUUUUUUUAUCCUUGACCUUUGGCAUUUGUACACCAACAACAGGAUUACAAAUGCCUUUAAACUGUUUGCUGAUAGGACUAACUUGGUCUAACUGUUCAGAACAUCCACCACUACUGCUUCUUUGAACCUUUUGCCAGACAGUAUGUCUGUUUUCCUUUCCCGUACGUCUUUGUGAACUCCCCAAACCACCAUAUCUAUUCAUCCUUGAACUCCCGGUCAAUUUUUUAUUUUGCUUAGUUUUCUUUCCAGGUAAAACUGAACAAGUUUCACUAACAGUACAUCCCCGAAUACCAAGAUUAGCUUUCUCCACUUCAGCAUUCAGAUCUACCUCAUCUCUUGCUGAGUUCUGAGAAGGAGAACUUCGUUCUUCCAACAGAUCAACUCCAAAACCUUGCUUUUCAUUUAAUUUUAAGUUCAGAUCAUCACAGUUACCGUUUAAACUAACCCACUUAGAAUCACGGGAAAUAUUAUCCAAAUAAUCCUUAGAGCAAAAAUCAUUGCAGCUGCCAGCAAUAAACCUCUCUCUUGAAUUUAGCCCCACAUCGACAUGGAUACAACCAGGCACGUUGAUUAGGGCCUGGUUUUCAGAUCCACAAACUUUAUAAUACCCACUGAAAUUCUUUAUUGCCAAAGAUGAAACCUUAGAUGAAUGUCCGUCAACAAUUUCAGAUGAUACUGAAUCCACAGUUCCAAGUGGCUGAAUCACAGAAUCUUGUUCAAAAUCUGGCAGAAAAGUUUCUUGUGCAAUCGAGCAUAAAACAGAUCUAUCUCUAAAAUCUGAAUCAUUACUGCCACAUGCUUCUGACAAAAAACUUGCACGGGCAGAAUCCUGGAGUGAUACUUCUGUUUCAGCAGAGACAAAAUCAGAAGAUAUAUUCUUACAUUCUAUUUCUUUCUUUUUUGCCUUCUUUCUUGGAUUUUUCUUCCCAUAUCUCUGCAUUUUAGCUCCAUCAACGGGAAUGUCAGAGAUUGCAAUAGAGUCACUUGACAUCAAAGCAGAGCCGGAGCAUGAACUUGUACAAGGGAACUUGCCAGAGGAUUGUUUUGGUGACUUAAUUGCUUUACUAUCCAGUAACUUUUUAUUGGACUCCAGCAGGCUUCUACAUCUGAGUGAAUUAAAUGAAUAUGUACCAUUGGAAGCAGGGCCUUUCUGCACCAAUUUUCUCCCAGCUGUAAACUGAUUCAUUUGAGGCAGGCAGCUCAGAUUCAAGCUAUCUAAGUAUUGUGGUGGUAGUGCAACAAUUCUCCAGAGUCCAUCAGAUUCGAGUGUAAGACAACUAAUGAUGGCACGUCUGGAAAAAGGAAACCAGGUAAAGAAAUAAUAAUCAAUAAUUUCUUCUCGUUGAAAUAAAGAGACAGAAAAAAGUCAUAGCUCAACAAUUGUAUGACUAAAACAUUACCUGUAAUCAAAAAAAUUUCUCCAUGCAAAAGAAGACACUUUAGAAUCCUGAAAGAAAUGAAGGAUGACGUUUAAAUAUAAAAUAUGCAAUCACAAUUUUAUGCAAACAAAACCAAAAUCAAAUAGAAUAAUUUUUUCUUAAAUUACGUACCGUACUUAUUCCCCUGGAACAACUGUUUUUCUCGAGUCUCAAUUCUAAUGACUCCUUUCCUUUGUCUAAAACUUUCUGAAAAUCACUACUUACAAGAGUACACUGCAUUGUUUUCUGUCAUAGUCAUCAACACGGUUCAAAAGAUAAGAAUUCUAGUGGAAUAUUUCCAAGGGCAACCAGUAAGGUUGUUAACAAAGUGCGGUUCAAAAAGGACUCCAGAAAAGGAAUAAUGGAAUAUGUAUUGAGAGUCUGAAAUAAUAAACUGAUUUUUAUUUUGACAUCACGGCACAUAAGUAUAGCACACCCACAAACAGAUAUGAAGAAAAAGAAAGAAAAACCUGAAGAAAUAUUUUCUUAAAUGUUCGUCAAAGUUUUCAUAUUGUAAUUUAAAGACAAUGCUUUGACAUGAUGACAAUCAUUAGAUCCGAACAAUACUAAUAAAUGUAAUAUCCGAAAAUCAUUAAAAUAUGAGAAUGAAAAUAUAAUUUGGGAUGGUGCCAAAAGAAAAAGAAGAUAGAAAGAGUGGCUUAAAAAAAUGACAACUUCCUUAUUGAGUAAAAGUAGAUUAAAAGAAAUUGAGAUAACAAGAAUCUUUGUUAAAUAAUAGUUCACAAUAUCUAAUCCAAUUGAACUUGGGUGUCAUCUUUUGACUACAACCAUAAUAUCCACUAUUUUGAAUAAUUUUGCUCAUGACUUGCCUCAACAAUUCUUGGGGAGGCUUUGCCCACCCAAAGUUAGCUUCCAACAAAAUUAAACCCAUGAAGUUGAUCAUGAUACCAUGAAAUUAGAACCUUAAUUAAUACAAUUCUUAUGUAACUACCAAAUACAGAAAGGCAGAUUCUAGCAAAACAAACAGCGCUAAUGUAGAAAAAUCAGAAAGCUCAGACUUCUUGAACGAAGAAACAAACAGAGUUUUGAUAAAGAGAAUAUUAAAGCCAUUUUUCUCCAGGAGAAUGUUGUUUAUUAAAACAAACGAAUAGCCAGAAACCCAAAGAAUAGACAUAAGGUACAUGCAUUAAGGGAGAAAACCCAGAUAGAAAAAACAACCUUUUCCUGAAAUGUUUUUCCCCAAUCAAUACAACAAAAAGCUGUAGCACACAAAACUUACCGAUCAAAAGAAACUCGUUCAACAACCAAAACUUCAAUGAAACAUUAUGAAAACAAGAUGAAGAAAAAGAAGAACAUAUACACGGUACGGCUCCAUUGAAAUUAAUCACCCAAUUAGAACCAUUGAGGAAGGCUAGUACUAAAUUUGACUAGACCCACAAAUAUCAAAGAGAAAUUGAAAACUCUCAAUUUAAGAACUAUACCAAUUUAGACACAAUCUUCACCCAAAUAUAGCCACAGGAUUCAGAUUACAGGGUAACAUACAAAAUCUACAACAAUCAACUAUUUGCCAAAAUUAGAAACGUUUCCUACCCUGUCAUCUCUAAUUCAAAAUAGAGAAACAAAGUAGACAGAUUAAGAUAGAAUAGAUUAUAUAUCGACUCUUUUAGGAAAAAAAGCAUACAAUGAUUUCUAGUUACUUUUCUAUAAAAGGAGCGCGAAAAUUGGAUAGUCAAGCCAUUUCACUACACACAAAUCAGAGAAAGUCAGUGAGUGAUCGAUUAGCUAAGAGAAGUAGAAGGAAACUGACCCAUUUCCAUUGGCGGGAGAGAAUCGAAGGAAUUACAAGGAGAAAAGCUUGUUCUUCAAGUGGACAAUAGCGUUUAUCUUUUUCUCUCUAUCGGAAUUUUGCUAGUGGCUUGCUUGAAAGGACCUGCGGCUGAUAUAAGCAAGUAUUUUUUGGUUUGUAUCUGACGAUUACGCUUUUCUUCAUUUUAUGACGGUCACUCUCUAUUAAGUAAAUACUUCGUAUUGUAUUUUAAAUUGGAAAACAUUCAAAAUUAUUUAUAAAUGUGAUAAAAUAGCCAAAUGCAAUAGAUAAUAAAAUAACUUGAUAGAUUAGUACAUGUGUUGAUAGAUUAUUACAUACCAUCUACUCUAUUAUAUUUUGUAAAUAUUUUGAUUUAUUUUAAGAAGAUCGUCAAAAUAGUGAAUUUGAUAAAAUACUUACAAGCUAUAUCAAAAUUUCAUAUUGUAUCAAUAACAAAUAUUUGAUAGAUAUCGAUAUUCUUUUAUUAAUGACAUUAAUAAAUCGUGAUAGAAGUCUGACAGUUUCUAUCGGUGAUAUAAUCAAAAAAUUUGCAGUUGUAAAUAUUUUAAUUUAUUUUGCUAUUUAAAAAAAAUGUCCAUUCAUUUUAGUAUAUUUGAAAAUAAUCCUUUUAUAUUGGUAUUUAUUCUUUUGGAAUUAAAUCUAAUAAGUUCCAAAAUAUUACAUUUUUUUAAAGUUUGAAACAUGAUAUUUUUUCUUGUUUUUCUUUUUUUUAAUUGAUAUAAUUUUACCAAUUUAAGCUUGGUUUCAAAUUCAUUCAUAGAUUUCAACAUUUACAUCUUAAUUCCAUUUUUUUUAUUAAAUGCUCAUAUUUUGUCUUUGACCAUAUUGAUCGAUUUCAGAUAAUUGUGAAAUUAUAUUUUAAAAACCAAAAAUAGAUAUUUCGUAAAAAAUUAAAAUAAUCUUAAAAUAUUUUAAAAACCAAAAAUAGAUAUUUCGUAAAAAAUUAAAAUAAUCUUAAAACAUAUGGACCAAAUUGAUUCAGAAGUCAAAUUUCAUUAGAAUAAUUGUAACAUUUUAAAAUUUGAGGACUAAAUUGACAUAAAAACAAGAUGGUCGUACAAGCAUUGACUCAUCAAGUGAUAGUCACUCUAAAACUCUCGAUACACAAAAUAUAAGGACCAGCCCAUGUUGAUAGAGCUCGAGAAAGUGUUGUACUUCAGUAAAAUAAAUUUGACAAUUCACAAUGAUUAGUAAUGACUUUUAAUUACUGAAGAAGUUAAUUAGCAAAUAAUUGUUAUGAAGCUUAUUUCUAUACAAUCAUGGAGACUCACAAAAUUCGAGGUAAGUUGGUGAUGGCCAAACACUAAAUUGAUGUAAGUUUCUUUAUUUUACAAGACUUUGUUUGAUUCUCUUCCAAAAAUUACAAAUUCAAAGUUAGUACCAAAAUUCUAUAUCAAAACACUAAUUUUAAAUUAUAAUAAAAUUAUGCCUACUUCAAAAUUGUAACAUAUGUUUAAUAAAAUUCCAUAAAUUUUAGAUAUUGAUACAAUAUUGAAAUUUGAUUUUUAAGUAUUAACUUGCCUUCUCGUUUCCUCCUCAAAAAAAAGUAUUAACUUGCUUUCAUGGCAAGGAGAAAUUUCUAGCAAACAAACUCGAGCUCAUGCUUUUUGUUUACUAUUUUGUUGAAGGGUGUGGAAAUGAUGAUUUUGACAAGAACGAUAGCUUCAAUUGCUAAGAAAGUCAUGACGUCUCAAAAUAAUUCACUAUUAAAAAAGAACUAUUCAAUUUAUGAUAUAUAUAUAUAUAUAUAUAUAUAUAUACAUACUAAAUCUAUGUUUAUUAUUAUUUGGAGUCUAAAGUUAUAUUGGAAUUAAAGGAAAAAAGAAGAAAAAAAAAUUGAUUGCACUAGAUUGAACCCAUAUUAAAGAGUUCUAAAGAUUUAAAGAAAGAAAUGUUUAAAAUUAAACAAUCAUGAAUAUAUCAUAGAAAUUUUCAAUUAAAAAUCUAAAGACAUCCUUAUUCAUUUAGGAGGUGAUCAAACUCAAACAAAGUUAAAUAAUUUAUUUUUUGUUUGUAUGUUUUUCACUAUGAAAAAGAAAUUUAAUAAGAAAAGAGAAACCUCAUCUGCACUAUGCUAAGAGAGGGAGGGAUUGCAGAUAGAACAGGAACAAAUAAACUGAUUUUCUGUAUCUGCUUAUCAUUUUUCAUGGCAAAAUCCACAGGCCCAGAGAAAACAAGUACAAGAUCAGUUGGAAUACGAAUCAAAUGCUGAUAUGGAAAUGCAAAACUGAACCAUCCAGUCUAUCAAGAGAUAAACCAUUCAUUCAUAUUAUCAGUUGGAUAUGGAGUUAGCACAAGGGGAUAAUGGCAUUUGAAACGAAAAAUAUUUAAUCAUAGAGUAGCAGCAUUAUCAACAUGUUUGUACUACAGCAAGUCCUUAAUCCAUAUCGAGUAUUGUUUUUGUUUUCCUAAAAGAAACUUACAAAAUAUUCAUGAUACUAGUAGAAGUCCAUUGCAAGAAUAAGCAUUUCAGCGGGCCUCGUACUGAACAACUGCAGUAAUAGGCAAGAAUUGGAUUGGACUUCAAAUUUGGAAGAAGCAAAUAAAUAUCAAGGACACAGAAAGUAAUGCAAAUUGACCCAUAUAACAAAAAUAUUGAAAAAACUAAACUAAGAGAAUAGACUCCAAUAACAUCCAUAAAGAGAGAAUCUAAACUUAAUCUCAAGACUUAUAGUAAGAGAGCAUUCCAAGUCAUAUAAGAUUACAAGGAUACCCCAAGAAACAAAUUUUUCAGUCAAUUAUCGACUUAGGUCAAGUAUAAUAGAUUCUGCUGAAAUACAUCCUGUUGUGACAGUAUAUUACCCAAACUACAACCAUCCUGCCAAUUAACAGUUGGAUAUAUGUGCAAUCUAUAAACUUCAGAACAAACUAAGUCAAUAAAAUAGUUGUUUUAGAUUACCCAUUACUCAGAAUCUUCAAAUGAAUUACAAAGAAGGUAAAUAAGAUUUAACCAGGAAGAAAACAGCAUUGAGUAUGGAUGUUAUAGAGUGGAUCAAAUGAUUUUCAAACAGAAAAAAAUAAGUGAAAACGUAGCCGAUCAUUCAACUCGUGCAAAGUAGUGAAGUGGAUAUAGAGUUCUCGACACAAGAAGAUGAUUUUGAUAGAGUUAAAGUCAGUUUUGGUGAGCUCAAAAUCACUCCAAAACAAGUCUUUUAUAGUUCAAGAUCAAUUUACCUUUUGAUUUAAUUCUUUUAAAUGUGACUUUCAAACAGUCAAGUUGAUUUUGGUUGAGCAAAACAUGUUUUGGAGUGAUCUACGAAGAUGAUAAAGUGAUUACAACCAUUUUAAAACCUCCCAACCAUGCCUAUAUGCAAAACCAGCCAAAGCCGCCAGUCUCAGAGUUUGACCCGCAUGUGUGACACUUCUUCAAUAUCUACUCAUACCAAAUAGCUCAUCUAUGUUUCUUGUUCCAUAUAAGAUUUAUAAUCAAACAUAUGAAAAUCUAAGACAACUUAUUUGAUGAGAUUCAAAAUUCCAAUCAUCUUUAACAGAAUGUUCAAUUGACAGACGACAUAUUCAUGAACAAAAUAAUAAUAACAAUAAUAACCACCAAAAUCAGAAGAAGUAUAUCUUACUGCGACGGGUGCGCUUCUUGUAGAGAAUACGAUAACCACACUCCCGGCACUGUAUAACAUCACCCUGCUUCAGAGUGUUCUCCAUUCCACAAUCUACACAAAUUUUACAUCUCUCAAUUCCCAAACAUAGUCAUAUAUAUACGCGUAUAUUUAGAGCAAUUAUUCUAACCAAGAAACUUCUAAAUUCCCAGUCUUAAUAUAAUCAAAGUAACUAGAUACUUGUUAAAAGAUGCAUCCGAUAACAUAACUAAAGAACCUAAAUAAUCGGGAGAUAUUCAAUCCCGAAAUCCGUAAAAACACAACAAGUAUACCUCCACAGAUGUAGCUGACUGGCUCGGGUUGAGGAUCCAUGAGUCAAGCUUCAAAAAUCUUCCUGCAAACCAAUUAUUGCACACACAAGUAAGAAACAAGCAUCAACGGAACAAUGAGAAUAAAGAAAAAUGGGGGUGAGAAUGUGCCGACGACCGGCGACCGCGAUGGCGGAAGGAUAGGAGAGAAAAAACAAUCGGCGCGUACCUACCGCUGCAAGGACGAUACGAAUAAUGAUGGGUGAGGGAAAAAUCAAACAAAAAUAAAAGGGAGGAGAAGGUGUAGUAGGGUUUUUCCCUUCUUUUUUAUGUUAAAAUAACUUUUUGGUUCUUAUAUUAAUUUUAGUCAAAGGUGAGGAAGAGGAGACGAAGACGAAGACGAAGACGAAAGAGAAUGAGAGGAUGCGAGAUGAGAGAGACGGAGGGAAGGGGGCUCGUCGUUGGUUUAAAAAUAAAUCACAAACCCUAAACUAAACGUAUAUAUUCUUUUACUUAAUUUUCAUAAAUGUAACAAAAUAAAAAUUUAAAUAUUCCACUUUGUCAUAGCCUUUUUCUUUUCAUCUUGAUUGCAUAGUUAUUUAAAGAUAGUAUAAAUCUAAACGUAUCAAAUAUUUGAUAUUGAUAUGUUUAAAUUUGGGUAGAGAUUGUGUAAUAAUAGUUGGAAUCACAUAGUUCAAAAGGUAAUAUUUUUUUAAUAAAUGAAAGUAUAUAUUAAAUUUAGUUCGAUUUCAAUAGUGGUUUUCAAAAUAGAAACCGAACCGUUUAAAUUCAAUUUAAAACCUUUUGAUUUUGCACAUAAAUCGAUUCAAUUUUAACAAUAGACUCGGUUUCUAUCGUUCUUUUGCCCAUCCCUAAAAUAAUUUGUUCUAUGAAGUUGCAUAGUUUGCCAAAUUUUUAUAUUUGUAAGGAAAUCACUUUAAAAAAUACAAGGCAAAUGUCAAUUGACAUGAUUAAACUUGGGUUACCCCAAUUUAAACCAUAGAUUAAUAAUUAUAUUAAUUUAAAAUUUAAACUAUAUAUUUUAAUCGGUUUAUACUCUAAACUUCUAUAAAUGCACUCAUUUAAACCCUCAACUUUCAUACAUAUUUGACAAAAGUUCUAUAAAUCCUUGAUUAUAAUAUUUAGAAAAAUAUGGCACUAACUAUAAAGAUAUUUUCUCUUUUUUUACUAUAUAAUAUAGAACUAUUUUCAAAUAUAAUAAAAUAAAGCAAAUAUUUAUAAAAUAUCACAAUUUUAUGUAUAGUACAUUUGUCUAUAUAAAUUAUAGAUUACUAUGAAACUAUGAAAGGAAAAUUGCAUUAGUUAAUAAAAAAGUUUAGAAAAAACAGCUCAUAAUAUUUGUUUUUUGCACAUUACAAAUUUGAUAAAUAUGAUUAGUAAAUAUGGCAAUCAGACCACUUUUAAAUUUACUAUUUUUACAAUUUAGAAAAUGUAGAUAACAUGAACUUUUAUGGUUUGCUAUUUUUGCGAACUCCGCUCCUAAAAUGAAUAAACUAUUUACACAAAAUGUAACAGUGUAAAUAAUUUGUAUUUAAAAAAAAAAACACUUUGUAUGUGUAAAUAUUUUUUUUAUAGUUUGUCUACUUCCAUGUAUUAAGGGCAAAAUAACUAAUCAAUUAAUGUAUUAUUAUUUUGAAAUAAUCAAACUUAGUAUUAAUGUAUUUACUAAAUCGUUUCCCGGGUGACCCACUCCUUCCUUGUCCUCUUGCUUCUGCGCUAUUUUCCUCCCUUAACCUUUUCUAUACAUCAAAUUUGGAUCUAUCAACUUCAACAUGAAUUUUCUUUUAUCACAAAACAAGAAAAGAAAAUGUUGUUCAAAGUUGAUGAAGUUGCUUAGGAACUUUCUGCUUCCGCGUUAUUAUUUUAACUCCACUUGUUCCAUGAUCUUCUUCCAAUUUUCUCUUUCCAUAAAAUAGAAUUUCCUACUCACAAAUUCUCCCGUUUCUUUCGAUGGAAGUUACGAUUCAAAGGUAGAGUUGAUUCCAUAAAUUACAGAUUGAUUUCCAAUCUCUUUGUCCGGUUGAUCGUCCUUCCGUCGGAAGGCGAUUCCGGCCACUGUUCAGAAUUUCGUAGCUUUCGUUGUUCGAAGCCCUAUGAUGAAAUCUUUCGACAAAACGCCGGAUAGGAACUCGUCUUUUUCUGAACCUGUCAGCUCAAUCCACAGUCCUCUUUAUUCCGAUGGCUCUCCUUCUUCUUCCGGUAAUAAUCAUUCUUCUCUCGAUCUUGGCGCCGUUCUGUUCAUCUAAGAUUGAUGGGGUAGUCAUUUUUUGCAGGUAACAAUAAUUCAAAAUCAGGGCGUAAGAAACAAUUAAUCAGGAAACGAGGUGGAUUUGUAUUUCGGGUAUACGAGCAUGGUAAGGAUCGAUAGUUUUUGCUGUAGAAAUGUAUUGAACACUACCUGUUUGUGGAAAUGCCAUCUGAAAUUUAUCACAAUAUGAUAUGAUGGAAUGAGGGUAAUCUUGUGUUUGUGUGAAAUCUGUAGUUAAGUUGGGGCCUAAAUUCUUGGUAACUGCUAAAGGUAAAUUGAGAUUAGGGGCAAAAAUAAUACAACAAGGUGGCAGAAAGAACAUAUUCAAACAGGUUUUUGGAAUUGUAGAAGGAGAGCAGCUUUUGAAGGCCUCUCAAUGCUACUUAUCAACAAGUGCAGGGCCCAUUGCUGGGCUUCUUUUCAUAUCUACAGAGAAAGUUGCUUUCUGCAGUGAGCAAAGUAUCACUUUCUCUUCACCAACUGGUGAAUUGCUCAAAACACCUUAUAAGGUAAUCUCUUUGCACUUAAGCAUUCGACUCAGGGUCAGAAAGAUGUAAAACAUUUAUUCUGCUAGACACGUAGUAGAUUGCACACAAGUCAUGUUUGAUUGAUUUGAUUGAUUUGAUUUGACCAUAUAUAUAACAUAAAGUUCUGAUUUUCAGAAAAUGGAAGUCAAAGAUUUUAGGUGUAGAAUGGAAGAUACACACAUAGAUACUGACAAUUUUGGCUGGUCUUUUUAUAUAAAAGAUCACCAACUUUUCGUUGGGAGAAAGUGAUUGAACUAACUGAAAAGUGUCUAGGUGAAAGCUAUGAUGUAACUAUCCAUAUGUGCUUAGUUCUUAUCGAGAAUUUUGUUCAGGCUUGGGAUCUAGGACCAAGAUCGUAAUUUCGAACUAUCUAAUCUGUGAAAGUUUAAACACCAUGCGAUUCAAAACUUCCAUGAGAUGCAUAAUAUUACAAGCUAACCUUUUAAGAUAUAUAAUACUUCCAAAUUAAAGGGGUAUAUUAAGACCCCUGCUUUGCAGUUUGAUGACUUUCCCCCCUUACAUAAAGGUGUGUUUAAAUAAAGUUCUUUCUUGAGAAUAAUUUAAAACUCCACAAUCUUUCUUUGUAUUAAAAGCAAAAAGGAAAAAGAGUUUAACUUUCAAAAAGCUGAGAAGGAUCUCUCUAGCACUAAACUACUACUUUUCCCAACCUGUUAGGGCAUGUUUACUCUUGUUAGGCCCAAAGUCAAUAAAAAAAAUGCAUGACGAAAGUGACCUUAGUCAUUAAAAAAUACUUCCAAACAUGCAAUUCAUACCUGCUAAAGAUCAUACCCUUUGAAAAUGACAGUGGUGUGUGAUUUUCUACAGGUUUUGAUACCAUUAAAGAAGAUCAGAAAAGCCAAUCAAAGUGAGAAUGUCAAUGAUCCAGCAAAAAAGUACAUCGAAGUGGUGACAGAUGACAACUUUGAUUUCUGGUUUAUGGGAUUUUUGAGAUAUGAAAAGGCAUUUACAAAUCUUCAGAAGGCCAUUUCCAUGGCUAACAAUUCAAUGCAACAGUUCACAGAUAUAUCAUGAAACUAACCAAUUCUGGCCGAAGAAGGUGUUGCUUUUCCUUCCCAUUCAUAGGAGUGAGUGCUUUUUGAACUUAGGAAUUUGAUAGGUAUUUCACAUACUCACAUCUUGGAGUGUUUCUAAUGAAUGUAUUGCUCUAUAUUUUGUAUGUAUAUCUGAUGACUGUUGUUUAAGUUUAGUUUUCCCACAUCCCUGUGCAUCGAAGUGGGCUUGAUUGAAAUAUGUAAAAUAUCUUAUUUGCUCCUAAAUUGUAUUUUACUCGAACUCAUCAGGUACUUUUGUUAUUUUCUUUUGAUUUUUCAUCUUGUUCUCUCGUUAAUCUCUAGCAGAUUUAGCAUGAACCUCAAGACUCGAACUCUCCCAAUCUUAUCUUAUUUAUAUAAUAUAUAAAGGAAAAACCAAUAUGAUACCGAUCAAUAUAAUUUUUUAGUCUUCAAUAUAUACAUUUAUAACAUAAAUUUUAACUUCCAACAAUGGUUUGUUUUUUUAGCUAGUACCUAAAAUGUAUUAUUGAGUCUAUAUAUAUUUAUGUUAGAUCCACAAAUAGGUUGUAGAUUAAACUUUCAUAAUCAUUUAUGUAUUUAACUAAUCUUGAGUUUAACAAAGCUAUGUAUCCGUUCUUUCUAAUAUUCUUCCCACAUUUGUUGGGUCAUUUUGAAAUAUGCUCUCUUAAGGAUCUAAUGUCUCCGCUCGUAAAAUUAGAAAGGGUUAGACUUGCUUUUGUUUUCAAAACCACUAAAAAAAUGCUUUCAAUAAUUUGGAUUUAAAUAAGUAAUAUAAUUAUCUAAUGGUUUUCUCUAAUACUUUAUCAAAUGAAAUAAAAUAAGUUUUUUAUUUAAAAAUUAAAAUGUUUUAAAUGAUUAUCUUAAAACAAACAACUUUUAAAUAGGUGUAUAAGAAUUUCAACAUCAAAUCUCACAGCAUACAUAUAUACUAAUUAACAUGUUUACCAAACCGUAAUGAAAAGUUAUGCCAUCAUAAAAGAAUUUCAUUGUUAAAUCAAUUAAAUUGCUUUCAAUCUUUUUUUACUUAGAGUUAUAAAUAUGUCACAAUUAUUAUUAGUAUUAUCUUUACCACUUAACAUAAACGAGAGGAUUUAUCUAUUACCACUAGCUUUGUCAUUAAGAAUAACAAUAACGGUAACUAUAACGAUAAAAGUAAUGCUAACAACUUGUAGAUUCAAAUCGUAAUAGACCCCACAUCUCAUUACUUUAAACCAACUAUAAUUCAAACAAAGUCCAUUUUUCAAUUUAGCAUCCAUUUAUUACGUAUACCCAAUUUUUUUUUAGAUCUUGAGUAAACUCAUACUCAAUUAAUGCAAAUCGAACACAAAAAUUUUGAUUUCAUUUAUUUUUUCUUUAAAACAAAUGGCAAUAAUAAUAAGAUAAUUGCAUUAGAUGAGAAAUUUUUUUUAGAAAAAACAAUUUAUAACAUAUUUUAUAAUUAUUUUUAUUUUCCUAUUUUUACAAACUUGUUGUGAUUAGGAAAAGAAAGAUACUUUCAGUGAACGGGAACAACCGUUUAUAGAAAAACAAUCCAAUAGAGUAUUUUAUUCUUCUAAUAAUAAACAAGCAAUAACCAUAUCUUUUAUUUAAUUAAGAUAAAACACUUAUACAUGAAUUAAACACAAACUAUUUCACAAACUCAUUCACUUUAAUCUUUCAAUUAAACUUUCUUGAACAUAACAGGGAAUGGCGUAUCGCUCAAAGCCAAAGCCCUUUCUCCAUUCUUGAAGAAGAUUCCAAUAUCUCUACACAUAACUUUACAGAAAUUACAAACAGUCGGACAGAACACCAAUUUGUAAUCCUUACCAUGCUUCUCAAUUUUGAACCAGUUAUCCACCGUCUCCACUCCCGGAUUUCCCCUGCUUCCGCCGAUCGUCACCAACCAUUGUCCUGUCGAUUCAUCGAAUUUGUCCAAUUUCCACACCGUCGAUGUCACGCAGAUCGUACUCGCCUCGAAUUGUACAUUCAAAUCGGUUGAAACUCGGACCACUCCCUUUUUAGGGUUUACAGGAUGAAAUGUUGUUGGAAAUCCGUUCAUUACUUCGAGUUGUUCUUGAACGACGUUGAGUGGACAUUUCUCCGAUUGGAGGUUGCCUAGGGUUAGGCCGCCGCCUCUGCCGCGGAAAACGGGGAGGAUGUAGUAGUUGACGCCGGCUCGGAGCUUCUUGCCGUCGAUGUCGAGGACGGCCUCCGGCGAAGCGUCGGCUGUGGAGAAGCGAAUCAGCUGGGUUGAGGCAAGGAGAAUGAAAAGAAAAUAGAAUAAUAUUCCGAAAUUCUUCAUUUUAUUUAUUAACAAUGUGGACUUUCUUUUGUUGGGUUGCUUAAUUCGAUAGGGAAAGGUUUUGUAUUUAUAGCGUAGAGGAGAGCGAGAGUCGAAAUUGCUCACUAUUUUCUCUCCUUCUAUUAGAUCAAAUGCAUCAUUUUCCAACUUGCCGCCAUGACGUGGCAGUACGUUUGCAUGGGUUUCAUAUUAGAUUGUUGAAUAUUGAUGUCUUAAUAAUUAUUUAAUAUGGACUAAGACUUAUUUAGUUGAUAAUCCAAAUUUUAUUUCAUGUUUAGUGAGUUUUAGCAAAUUCAAUAGUAAAACCUUUUUUUAUUAUUAUGUUUUUAUUAUAUUUAGAUUUAAAGUAUCAAACUACAAAAUUUAUAAUUAUAUUAAAUAAAGAUUAAGAAAAAAUUAAAAGUAUAAUAUGUUAUCAAGUUAUAAACUCAAUUACUCCAAAAAAAAUUAAAAUAUACAUUAUAAAUUAUAUAGUAUUACAAAAUAAUUACCAUACAAAAAAUAAAUCAAUAAUGGUUUAUUCUCAAAUAAUAUUUAAUGGGUAACUAUAGCUACUUUUCCAAAUAAUUGUUUAACUUAUGAUUAAAAUUAAUCUUUUAUUAACAUAAAAUAAAACUUUGUUUUUAUUCAAUCUUUCGUUUAUUUUUACAAUUUUUUUCAUAAUCUAAAAAAAUAUGCUGAUUGGAAAAGAAAGAAAAAGUUUUUUUUGGUAAUAUAUUAUGAUCUAAAAUGUUGGGGUGUUACAUUAUGCUCAAAGUUGGUCACAUGCAACUCUAUUGAAUUCCAAAAUCGUUAUUAAAUUUUUUAAAAUUUCAAAAUCAAUUAAUUUUUCAAUUUUCCACAUUGAAUUAACUACAACAAAAGUAAUGAAUUGUUUUUCCAGUUCUUAAUAUAUCUAUGCCUAGAUAUAUACUAAGAAAAUAGUGAGAAAUAACUCAAAUUUUUAUCUUAUAAAAUUAGUAUUUUCUUUUUCAACUUAUAUGCUUGAUCAUUUUUGGUGCAUCUAGGUAGUGUACAUUUAUUCAAAUCUUCCCAAAUAUUAAAAGUGUAUAUAUAUUAAGCCUACUGUGUUAUAAGAUAAACAUGUGAGAUUGGAUAAAGUUUGUAAAGUCAAACUAUUAAACUUCAUGUGAUUGUAUUCAAUAUAUAAUAUCUCUUUGAAUAUUGAGAAUUGUUGACUGUGAUUCAAAGAGCCUUUUUUUAAAUUAUAUUUCUGUGAAUUUAAAAAUAAAUUAAAUACAAAUCUGUGAACCAAAGGCUUUUAAUUUUCCUUCUUCUCUACGUUUAUUGAAAUAAAUUAAAUUUCCGACGACUUCUUUUUCCCUUAUUUUUAAAAACCAUAUUAGUUUGAAAAAUGAGAUACAAUCUUAUAUUUAAUAGUUUAUCCAUUCUGAUGAGAUAGAUAACUUCACAAUUAUAUAUAUAUAUAUAAAAAGUUUUAUAUUUAAUAGUUUAUCCAAUAUUUUUAAGAUAGAAUACUUGACAAAUAGACCAAAAAAAAUUAAACCACUAACCAAACUAUAGACGACUAGAUAAAGAUUUUAGAGACUUCAAUUAGUUGGUCAAAUUGUACGUUUUUAUAGUCAUAUUGGUUUGAACAUUUACUAAAUCGAUCAUAAUCGAUUAUUGCGAUGGUUUGAUUCAAAAUUCAUUACCGAUGUUUGAAUUUAAGAGUAAAAUUGUACAUUUUAUAAUUGUUUUAAGUCUAUAUGAGAAUUUGUAAUAUAAUGCUUGGUCAUAUAUUCUUCCUUUGAAAAAAAAUAAUUGAGUGAAUUUAAAGAAACUGCAUAGAACAAGGUUUAUUAUAACCAAAUAUUUUCAUUUGCUAACUUAAAAAAUUAGCAAAACUUCUCACAAUUAUUCUGACUCUAACUAAUAUUAAUUAAAGAGAAAAUGAAAUCUAUAGAUAAUGAUUAUUAUAAAUUUUUUUAAUAUAAUUUGACGCAUGAAAACGUAAGUAGUAGAGUAAAUGACAUAAUAUAGGUUAAUUCUAUGAGUUUUUUUCUAAAUGUUUUUGUCUUUUCAUGCAAUUUUUCUUUCAUCAAAUACCAAAAGCAAAAGUGUUAGAUUCCACUUUUUUUUCGCUUUUUAGAUGUACUCGAGUGAGAGUUACAAAUACACCUCAAACUUUCAAUAGUAAUAUAAAAGAAUUUUGAACUUUUAAAAAUGUUAAUAUUGGAUCAUCGUCAUACUUAUAAAUAAUUGUAAAAGUUGGACUCACAAAUAAUAAAAAUUGAAUUCAAAAUCGUACAUAAUCAACACCGCAUCCAAUUUUGUUGAUAUAAUUACAAUUAUUACCAUACUUCAAUAAUGUUUUUUUGCAAUUUGCCUAUUAUUAGGUCCAUGUCUAGUAUCCAAUUGUUAUAUAUAUAUAUAUAAAGCAUACAUAAUAUAACUAGAGAUAUAUAUUUUAUUUAUUUCACGAAAUUAAGUCGUGAUUUAUUAUUACAAUAGAAAUUGAGAAUUGGAUGAAAUUUAUCACACCCAAAACCCAACCUCUUGACAUCUUUCACAUUCAUCAAUCAUAAACUUUCUUGAACAUAACCGGAAAUGGCGUAUCGCUCAAAACAAGACCUUUUAUUCCAUUGUUCUCAAAUAUACCAAUAUCUUUGCACAUUACUUUGCAAUUCUUACACACCACUCUUGGACAAUACACCAACUUAGUAACCUUCCCAUAUUGCUCUAUUUUGAACCAGUUUUCCGUAGUCUCUCACCCCGGAUUCUCUUUCGUUCCGCCAAUUGUUACGAAAUAUUGCCUCAAAUAUUGAUCAAAUGUUCCUAAUCUCCACACCGUCGAUUUCACACACCUUGUAGUCGCAUCAAACUCGAUGUUCAAAUCGGUGGAGACUCAAACCACACCCUUUUUAAGGUUUAUUGGUAAAAAUGUAGUGGAAAAACCAUCGGGUUGUUCGUAACACUCCUAGACGACGUUGACACCACAUCUAUCGUAUUCUUUUCGGAUAUUCCCGAUGGCGAAACUUCCACCACCAACACUGCCUUGAAUUGCUGGGAGGAUGUAGUAUUUGUUGCUGAUUCUGAGCUUCUUUCCAUCGGUGUCGAGGACGGGAUCUGGUGACGCAUCAGCUCCGCAGAAGCGUACCUCAGAUGAGGCAAUGACAAUGGCAAUGAAAAGACAAGUGAGUAAUGCAAAAUGCAUAUUUGAUACAUUAAUGUUUUUGACACAAAACAAGUUUUUGACUGAGGGCCAAUAAAAUUUCAAUUAAUUUGCGAUCAAAACAUUUUUGAGUCAAUCAUGUUCGUCAGAUUCCUUAUUAGAGAUAAAUUUUUAAAAGAGAAAAAAAGAAAAGUCAAGCUUUGUUUUUAGAGUACAAAUUAAAAAUCAAAGAUUUGAAAUAAAAGUAUAUAUAUAUAGACGUGAGUUAAACUGAUGUUAAAAUAUAUCAAACUUUUCAAUUUUUGUGCAGCAUAAUUAUAUUAAUAUAUAUGGAUUUUUAUGUAUUAACCCUUUUUAAAGUUUAGGUUCAUUUAAAAUAACUUUUUUCUUAAAAAAAAAGUCGAAGGUCCAAUGUGUUCUGGAAAUUAAAAAUUGUAAAAGUGAAUACUUUAAAAUAAAAAUAAAAUAUUUUUCCUUAUUUCAAAAUAUUUUAGAGACAAACUAAUUGCCUUCAUGUGAUUGCAUUUACUACUCUUUUAGCUUUGCACAUGAUGUAUGUACUUGACUUUUCUUUUUCUCUUUAUUAUAUAUAUAUAUAUAUAUAUAUAUAUAUAUAUAUAUAUAUAUAUAUAUUAAAAAUAAUUAUAAUUGACGGUAAUAUAAUAAAGCAUAUAGUAACAUUUUAAAAAAAAUUGAAAAUAUAACAAAAUCUAUCUGCUAUAAAUUUCUAUUAUCGAUAGACUUUAUCGGUGAUCUAUUAGUCAAGACAAAUUAUUUUAUAUUUACAAAUUUUUUAAAAUGUUGUUAUUUAUUUAGUUAUUUUGAAUCUAAUUCUUUUAUUUGCAAUAAUUUUUGCAGGUUUUAAAUAAGUUAUAUUUUCAUCCAAGAUAAAUUAACAAAAACUCAACUGAUUGAUUAAGAUAUUAUACAAGGUUUUUUUAAAAAAUAAUAAAAAGAUAAAUAUUUACACUCUAUCGAACAAAAAAAAUACUAAAAAGACCAAAAAAAAUCGUUACUCUUGAUUUUUUUAUGAAGUCUAAACAUUUUGUCAAUUUUAGACAUUGGUGGGAUUCUAACGGUGUCCAUCAUAGUAACAUCGUAAGACGUUGAUAAAUCUAAAAUUUUGUUAUAUUUUGUAAAUAUUUUCAACACUUUUGUCAUUUACAAUAAUUCUCUAUUCUUAAUAAAGCUAUAAAUAGUCUUACAUUCUUUAAACAAGGAUAGUGUUAUUUUAAAUUAAGGUUUAAAAUGUUGAUGUCGAAGAAAAUAUCGAGAUCUUAAUUUUAUGAAAAAACUAUAAAUUUAUUGUAAAAAUAUCCAUUACAAUGGAUAGUAUGAAAAUUUAUUAAAAUAAUCCAAUAAACAAUCAAUUUAAAUUAGCCAGAUAAAUAUUUAAGGAUUUCUUAAUAAUAUAUAACUACUAUUUAUAUUAGUGCUAAUUUGAUUAUUAUUUUAUAUUUUUCUACAAUACAAUGACAACAUCAAUUUUUUAUAUAUAUAUUAGUGUGGAAUUCAUAUCAACAUUUUACUGUAUUUUUGUAAAUAACAAAGAUUCAAUUUUUACUAUUUAUAACAAAUUUUCAAUAAAAUAACGAAACUUUUAUUGCAAUAAAGAUGAUUACAACAAUUUAUUUAUUAUUACAUUGGAUAUAGAGAGAGAAAAUUUAGUCAUUAAUUUCCCUCUCAUCAUGACCAUCACUAUCAGCUUCAAAUUCAAACUUUCUUGAACAUAACAGGGAAUGGAGCAUCAUUCAAAGCAAUAACCCUCCUUCCAUUCUUGUAAAAUAAUCCCACAUCUUUGCACACUACUUUGCAAUACUUACAAACUGUUGGACAAUACACCAACUUAUAAUUCUUACCAUACUUCUCCACUUUGAACCAAUUUUCUAUUGUUUCCCGCCCCGGAUUCCCUUUCAUUCCCCCCAUCGUCACAAAAUACUGCUUCAAGUAUUCAUCAAACUUACCUACUUUCCAUACCGUCGAUAUUCCGCACCUCGUGUUCGCCUCGAAUUGGAUGUUCAAAUCUGUAGAAACUCGGACCACACCCUUUUUAGGGUUUAUGGGGGAAAACGUCGCCGGUAGACCGUGUAAAUAAUCGUAUGAUUCCGGGAGGAUGUUGAUGGGACAUUUUUCGUAUCCGUAGAUACCGCCGAUGCUUAAUCCACCACUGUUUCUGCUGUAAACUGAAAGAAUAUAAUAUUGAUCACCGGCUCGAAGCUUCUUUCCGUCGGUGUCGAGGACCGCAUCGGGGGAGGCAUCCGCUCUGCAGAAGCGUACCUCAGAUGAGGCAAUGACAAUGAAAAGAAAACACAGUAAUGCAAAGUUUCUCAUUUCUUUUGGUGAUUUUGUUUCUUAUGUAGAUGAUGAUAUUGGAAUUGAAAAAGAAGUCUAUUUAUAGGAAAUUAUAGAGAAAGAGAGAUUGAAAUUGCUCACUGUAUUGUUUCUCAUUGUAUUGCUUUCCCGGCGGGCGCCA